CUUAAAUUGGUAAACUAACUAGAUAUUGUUGAAAUUCAAGAAAUGAUGGAAAUAAAGCACAAUUUUCUUUUAUCUAUUGAGAUUUAAUUGACAAAUAAAAAUGUUAUACAGUUAAGGUGUACAAUGCAAUACUUUAAUAUGUAAACACAUUGUGAAAUGAUUACCCAAAUCAAGAUAAUUAACAUAUCCAUCACAUCACAUAGUUAUUUUACAUACGUGUGUGAUGAUUAAUACUGAGCGUCAACUCGACUGGACUGAAGGAUGCAAAGUGUUGUUCCUGGGUGUGUCUGUGAGGGUGUUGCCAAAGAAGCUUAACAUUUAAGUCAGUGGACUGGGAAAGGCAGACUCACCCUCAAUCUGGGUGAGCACAAUCUAAUUAGCUUCCAGCAAGGCUAGAACAAAAGCAGACAGAAGAAACCCCUACAUCUUUCUCCCAUGCUGGGUGCUUCCUGCCCUCAACAUUGGACUCCACGUUCUUCAGCUUUGGGAUUCAAACUAGCUUCCUUGCUCCUCAGCUUGCCCAUCUAUCUAUUGUAAGAACUUGUGAUCAGAAGGGAAGAGUGCACCAAAAACAAGUUUCCAACAAGACCAGUGGCUUUUACAAUGCUUUAGAGAGAUCUACAAUUUCCUAUUGGCUCCAAGACUUCCAGUUUUCAGGGCACCAGUGACCCAAGGACUAGAAGAACAGACUGAGGAGCUUGGUGAGUACCAAGUUUAUCAUAAAAGCUGUCAUUUUGUUAUUGCAUCUGGAGGCAGAAGCCAAUUUUUUCGA
RNAcentral lists this long non-coding RNA (772 nucleotides) under Papio anubis (olive baboon). RNAcentral's name for it is "lncRNA (ENSPANG00000040291.1)". The record is from RNAcentral. Lineage: Eukaryota; Metazoa; Chordata; Mammalia; Primates; Cercopithecidae.